Molecule: ribosomal RNA, 392 nt
Filed under: uncultured bacterium
Lineage: Bacteria
Description: partial 16S ribosomal RNA
Rfam family: Bacterial small subunit ribosomal RNA
Source: RNAcentral
AUACGGAGGAUCCGAGCGUUAUCCGGAUUUAUUGGGUUUAAAGGGUGCGCAGGCGGCCAUUUAAGUCAGCGGUUAAAUCGUGGGGCUCAACCCCAUUCUGCCGUUGAAACUGUGGUUCUUGAGUGCAGAAGAGGUAGGCGGAAUUCGUUGUGUAGCGGUGAAAUGCGUAGAUAUAACGAAGAACACCAAUUGCGUAGGCAGCUUACCAUACUGCAACUGACGCUGAGGCACGAAAGUGUGGGUAUCAAACAGGAUUAGAUACCCUGGUAGUCCACACAGUAAACGAUGAAUACUAGCUGUUUGCGAUACACUGCAAGUGGCCGAGCGAAAGCAUUAAGUAUUCCACCUGGGGAGUACGCCGGCAACGGUGAAACUCAAAUGAAUUGACGGGG